RNAcentral lists this ribosomal RNA (390 nucleotides) under uncultured Actinomadura sp. RNAcentral describes it as "bacterial SSU rRNA". It matches the Rfam family "Bacterial small subunit ribosomal RNA", at positions 505 to 894 of the family's 1533-position model. Lineage: Bacteria; Bacillati; Actinomycetota; Actinomycetes; Streptosporangiales; Thermomonosporaceae. The record is from RNAcentral.
GUGCCAGCAGCUGCGGUAAUACGUAGGGCGCAAGCGUUGUCCGGAAUUAUUGGGCGUAAAGAGCUCGUAGGCGGCUUGUCGCGUCGGGUGUGAAAGCCCACAGCUUAACUGUGGGUCUGCAUCCGAUACGGGCAGGCUAGGGGCAGCUAGGGGAGCAUGGAAUUCCCGGUGUAGCGGUGAAAUGCGCAGAUAUCGGGAGGAACACCGGUGGCGAAGGCGGUGCUCUGGGGCUGUUCUGACGCUGAGGAGCGAAAGCGUGGGGAGCGAACAGGAUUAGAUAACCCUGGUAGUCCACGCCGUAAACGUUGGGCGCUAGGUGUGGGUCCUUCCACGGAUUCCGCGCCGUAGCUAACGCAUUAAGCGCCCGCCGUGGGAGUACGGCCGCAAGGC